GGAUUUCUAAAAUUGUUUGUUUACUCAUGUACAUUGUUUGCAUCUGUGAAUAUAUUUUUAUAUUUAGGGAUUUUCCAUUGCCUCUAGAAAGUUGUUUGUUUCAUCCAACGCUUAUGUGUGGUUUUGCAACUACUAAUUUCUGUUAUCUCUAUGUUUGUUGGUGUAUGGCUGCUGCUUUUGCCUUCAUGGGAAAUGAUUAGGCAGGCUGACUACAUAGUAAUUGUUAGUACUCUUUGAUGAUAGAGAAGUAAAGAACUUGUUGUUACUGCAAACUCAGGCUAUGCUAUUGAAAAUGACAUCAGGGGACAGGUAUAUUGAACAUGUGUUGAUCCACUAAUGAUUAGUUUGUUCUUCAGUAACUUCUUCUUCAGUAUCAUAGUUAGUAAACAUAUGAGGUUUGGCAAGUUAGUAUUUACCAUUGAUGCUUGAAAUAAAUAGCAUGACUGGUGUUGCACCAUGUGUGUGUAGGUUUUUCCU
This 477-nucleotide long non-coding RNA is filed under the name Triticum aestivum (bread wheat). RNAcentral's name for it is "long non-coding RNA (TAES_LNC004625)". The record is from RNAcentral. Lineage: Eukaryota; Viridiplantae; Streptophyta; Magnoliopsida; Poales; Poaceae.